RNAcentral lists this long non-coding RNA (271 nucleotides) under Nicotiana benthamiana. Its description in RNAcentral is "long non-coding RNA (NBEN_LNC010011)". The record is from RNAcentral. Lineage: Eukaryota; Viridiplantae; Streptophyta; Magnoliopsida; Solanales; Solanaceae.
GCAUGUUCGGAGGAGGGGCCCCGAUGCCCCGGUGAGGAGCUGCGAGCGGCUGGAGAUUGUUGGUGGUCGGCGAGGGAGCGGGAGGCCUAAGAAGCAUUGGGGAGAGGUGAUUAGACAGGACAUGACCAGAAUGCAGGUUACCAAGACGCCUUUCCCGGGGUUGGGUGUGGGAUAGUAGGGUUACCCAUAGGUGAUUAGUGUUUUAGCUUAGGUCCCCAGAGGGUUGAUAGUAUGGUAGUUACUGCUUGUUAUUAUUGCAUGCGACUGUAUU